UGCCUUUUUCUAUUUUUACCAGGUCUAAAAAACAAACAGAAAAGAACAAUAAGUAGGAAAAAAAAACCCAAAACAAAAACAAAGGAAACAAAUAACAACCCCCAAAGCCUUAACACCAGGCCCAUGCCUC
This 130-nucleotide long non-coding RNA is filed under the name Neogale vison (American mink). Its description in RNAcentral is "Neovison vison (American mink) lncRNA (ENSNVIG00000020274.1)". The record is from RNAcentral. Lineage: Eukaryota; Metazoa; Chordata; Mammalia; Carnivora; Mustelidae.